Molecule: ribosomal RNA, 301 nt
Filed under: uncultured bacterium
Lineage: Bacteria
Description: partial 16S ribosomal RNA
Rfam family: Bacterial small subunit ribosomal RNA
Source: RNAcentral
CAGCCGCCACGGUAAUACGAGGGGGGCAAGCGUUGUUCGGAAUUAUUGGGCGUAAAGGGUGCGUAGGCGGUUUGACAAGUCUUGUGUGAAAUCUUCGGGCUCAACCCGAAGCCUGCACGAGAAACUGUUGAGCUUGAGUAUUGGAGAGGUGAGUGGAAUUUCCGGUGUAGCGGUGAAAUGCGUAGAUAUCGGAAGGAACACCUGUGGCGAAAGCGGCUCACUGGACAAUAACUGACGCUGAUGCACGAAAGCUAGGGGAGCAAACAGGAUUAGAUACCCCCGUAGUCCCUGUCUCUUAUAC